This 491-nucleotide ribosomal RNA is filed under the name uncultured bacterium. RNAcentral's name for it is "partial 16S ribosomal RNA". It matches the Rfam family "Bacterial small subunit ribosomal RNA", at positions 29 to 506 of the family's 1533-position model. The record is from RNAcentral.
AGUGAACGCUGGCGGUAGGCCUAACACAUGCAAGUCGAACGGCAGCACAGUAAGAGCUUGCUCUUACGGGUGGCGAGUGGCGGACGGGUGAGGAAUACAUCGGAAUCUACUUUUUCGUGGGGGAUAACGUAGGGAAACUUACGCUAAUACCGCAUACGACCUACGGGUGAAAGCAGGGGAUCUUCGGACCUUGCGCGAUUGAAUGAGCCGAUGUCGGAUUAGCUAGUUGGCGGGGUAAAGGCCCACCAAGGCGACGAUCCGUAGCUGGUCUGAGAGGAUGAUCAGCCACAAUGGAAGUGAGACACGGUCCAGACUCCUACGGGGGGCAGCAGUGGGGAAUAUUGGACAAUGGGGGCAAGCCUGAUCCAGCCAUAACGCGUGGGUGAAGAAGGCCUUCGGGUUGUAAAGCCCUUUUGUUGGGAAAGAAAAUCAGCAGGUUAAUACCCCGCUGUUCUGACGGUACCCAAAGAAUAAGCACCGGCUAACUUCGU